GGAUGUAAGGCCCAUCUAUCUGUGACAUCUGUCACCGUACUGAUGCUCAGGGUCAGUUGUGCUGAUCUGGCUGCCUAGGCUGUGUCCCCUUCUCCCCUCCCUCUCCCUGUGCAUCCCUCCUGAAGCUGGUGCUCUGUCAAAGAGGAGGAGCUUGCACUACAGAGGGGGACCUGCCCCCAGUCCAGGGUAUGAGAGUAGCUGUGCUCUGAACCUCCCAACAAGCUCUCAAGGUCCAUCUGUAGGAGAACAUAGGGUAGUCGAGCUUCCAAGAUCCCAGACACACCCAAAUAAGACGCUGUAUGUGGCAGUCUUUCUGCCUUU
Vulpes vulpes (red fox) is the source of this 321-nucleotide unclassified non-coding RNA. Its record names the gene 7SK. It matches the Rfam family "7SK RNA". Rfam says of the family: 7SK was discovered as an abundant small nuclear RNA in the mid-70s but a possible function has only recently been suggested. Two independent studies have found that 7SK RNA binds the CDK9/cyclin T complex (known as elongation factor P-TEFb). The record is from Ensembl. NCBI's taxonomy places the organism in Eukaryota, Metazoa, Chordata, Mammalia, Carnivora, Canidae.